RNAcentral lists this ribosomal RNA (550 nucleotides) under uncultured bacterium. Its description in RNAcentral is "bacterial SSU rRNA". It matches the Rfam family "Bacterial small subunit ribosomal RNA", at positions 355 to 896 of the family's 1533-position model. The record is from RNAcentral.
UAGGGAAUCUUCGGCAAUGGACGGAAGUCUGACCGAGCAACGCCGCGUGAGUGAAGAAGGUUUUCGGAUCGUAAAGCUCUGUUGUAAGAGAAGAACGAGUGUGAGAGUGGAAAGUUCACACUGUGACGGUAUCUUACCAGAAAGGGACGGCUAACUACGUGCCAGCAGCCGCGGUAAUACGUAGGUCCCGAGCGUUGUCCGGAUUUAUUGGGCGUAAAGCGAGCGCAGGCGGUUAGAUAAGUCUGAAGUUAAAGGCUGUGGCUUAACCAUAGUACGCUUUGGAAACUGUUUAACUUGAGUGCAAGAGGGGAGAGUGGAAUUCCAUGUGUAGCGGUGAAAUGCGUAGAUAUAUGGAGGAACACCGGUGGCGAAAGCGGCUCUCUGGCUUGUAACUGACGCUGAGGCCCGAAAGCGUGGGGAGCAAACAGGAUUAGAUACCCUGGUAGUCCACGCCGUAAACGAUGAGUGCUAGGUGUUAGACCCUUUCCGGGGUUUAGUGCCGCAGCUAACGCAUUAAGCACUCCGCCUGGGGAGUACGACCGCAAGGUUG